GCGGAGGAAAAGAAACCAACAGGGAUUGCCCUAGUAACGGCGAGUGAAGCGGCAACAGCUCAAAUUUGAAAUCUGGCGUCUUUGGCGUCCGAGUUGUAAUUUGCAGAGGGCGCUUUGGCAUUGGCAGCGGUCCAAGUUCCUUGGAACAGGACGUCACAGAGGGUGAGAAUCCCGUACGUGGUCGCUAGCCUUUACCGUGUAAAGCCCCUUCGACGAGUCGAGUUGUUUGGGAAUGCAGCUCUAAAUGGGAGGUAAAUUUCUUCUAAAGCUAAAUACUGGCCAGAGACCGAUAGCGCACAAGUAGAGUGAUCGAAAGAUGAAAAGCACUUUGGAAAGAGAGUUAAAAAGCACGUGAAAUUGUUGAAAGGGAAGCGCUUGCAGCCAGACUUGCCUGUAGUUGCUCAUCCGGGUUUUUACCCGGUGCACUCUUCUAUAGGCAGGCCAGCAUCAGUUUGGGCGGUUGGAUAAAGGUCUCUGUCAUGUACCUCUCUUCGGGGAGAACUUAUAGGGGAGACGACAUGCAACCAGCCUGGACUGAGGUCCGCGCAUCUGCUAGGAUGCUGGCGUAAUGGCUGUAAGCGGCCCGUCUUGAAACACGGACCAAGGAGUCUAACAUCUAUGCGAGUGUUUGGGUGUCAAGCCCGAGCGCGUAAUGAAAGUGAACGGAGGUGGGAACCUUUCGGGGUGCACCAUCGACCGAUCCUGAUGUCUUCGGAUGGAUUUGAGUAAGAGCAUAGCUGUUGGGACCCGAAAGAUGGUGAACUAUGCUUGAAUAGGGUGAAGCCAGAGGAAACUCUGGUGGAGGCUCGCAGCGGUUCUGACGUGCAAAUCGAUCGUCAAAU
Molecule: small RNA, 842 nt
Filed under: Pseudoascochyta novae-zelandiae
Lineage: Eukaryota; Fungi; Ascomycota; Dothideomycetes; Pleosporales; Didymellaceae
Description: eukaryotic LSU rRNA
Rfam family: Eukaryotic large subunit ribosomal RNA
Source: RNAcentral